GCCAGUUUUUACAACAACUUGUCUCUGAAGGAUAUUUCUAUAUGGUUUUGUAACAACCUUAAAUCCUUGCCUGAAGGUCUUCAUAAACUGAGCAAUCUCCGUGAGAUUUCAAUAUCUUACUGUUCAAAUGUUGUUUUCUUCCCAGGAGGGUUGCCUGCCAGCCUGAGAAGGCUCAUUAUCAUUGAAUGUGAGAAACUCGAGGCCAUCCCUGAUCGCAUGUAUAACCUCACAUCUCUUCAAGAAUUGAGGAUAACUUACUGUCCCCACAUUGUAUCCUUCCCAGAAGAGGGUCUUCCUACCAGCCUAACUUCUCUUUGGAUAAUAGAUCUUAAGAUCU
This 337-nucleotide unclassified non-coding RNA is filed under the name Hevea brasiliensis (rubber tree). The record is from RNAcentral. Lineage: Eukaryota; Viridiplantae; Streptophyta; Magnoliopsida; Malpighiales; Euphorbiaceae.